RNA transcript from Brienomyrus brachyistius, 6388 nucleotides. It is a transcript of the gene named keratinocyte differentiation factor 1a, with no coding region annotated. The transcript is spliced from 8 exons. The record is from RefSeq and is a predicted model, not a curated record. Lineage: Eukaryota; Metazoa; Chordata; Actinopteri; Osteoglossiformes; Mormyridae.
ACGUCACGCCUCACCUAUGAGUGGGUGCGGGAUUUACCUGUUGCCGCAGGUAACAUACCCAAGAAGGUGGAGUACAAAAACGCCGUGGAGUACAAAACCCGAGCGAGCGAGCGAUCGAUCGAGCGGACCUAGAGCCGGACCCCCCGCCCCCCGGCGGACCCCCUCACCCGCGGUAAUACUGCGCUGAGAAGUGCGGAGACCGGCCGCUUCGGGCCGCCAACUCAACCCGAGAAAGAAGAAGUUAGGGAGUCCGCGAAGGAGUCUAGGAAAGAUUAAUAAAAGUUAAACUUCCGGAAGAAAGAGAAGGGGAACGGAAGGUAUCCGGGGACUGACAGCGUUCGCCUCGUAUGCGGUUCUGGACCUGCUGAGCCAUGCCUGGGCGCAGUGCGCGGGGUCCCCCCAACCCCCGCCCCCAUCCACGCUACGUAAGCCGUCCCGAAACUGUGGGCUACCGCCAGCCACCCUUGUAUUAUAAGGAUGGCAAAGUCGCCCGGAAAUCGCAGCGUGAGCCCUGCGUGGAGGUCCCCAGGCCGUCUAAUCCCCGGUACUCGCAAAAGGGCCGCCCCCCGACCGCUAACGGCUGCGGGGCGGAGACACUGGGCUUCGUGCCGGGCUCCGCGGACUCGGCUGUGCCGGCCCCUCCAUGCGGGCCCUGUGGCUCCCUGGGUGGCUGGAGCGGCUGCCUGGCGUUUGUGUGCUGCAUGCUGACCUGCGGCCUGUACGGCGCCCCGAAGCCCUGCCAUGCCACGGACGAGUCGUCCACUGACCCCGAUCCUGGAGUCGGUGCCGCCCCCUCCUCCUCUGGCAAGAGGGACCCAGAGAUGUAUGCAAGCAACUUCACCUCCAACGGCCUGGCCCUCAGCAACGCCACCUGCGGGGUCUCCCUGGAGCCCACCUGCAAAUCCGUCAAGCUGCCCGGCUCUGACAGCUUCACGUACCACGACGUGCGCAUCGGCGGCCAGAAGGUACGCUACCCAGAUGGCCCGAGUGCCUCGCGCCGGGCGCGACCCCCUGGCACCACCCCUAAGGGCGAAACCCCGCGGCCCAUCAGUGACACUAGCAUCUACUCCCGAGAGGACCUGUACCUGGACGACCCCAGUGACAGCGGCACGGACAUUGACACGCUGAUUCAGCGGAAGCUUCUGGAGCUGUAUAAGAUGCACCAGAUCGAGCAGCUGGCCCAGUGCACCUCAGACUCCUCGUUCUCCCGGCGGACCAACGAAAUCAGCGAGCUCAUCAACAACAUCGCCCAGGACUAUAACCUGCGGGAAAAGGAAGCUGAGUGCCGGCUGGUGCAGGGUGUCAUUCGCAUCAGCACCCGCAAGAACAAGGUGCUCAGGGACAGAGACCCCGCCCCCCAGGAGGCGUGGUCACGGGUCAAUGGGAGGCGGGACAAAACCAUCUCUGAUAGUGGCCACGAUACCAUGACGGACACCUUCAAUAGCAACGAUACGGAGCCGGAGGUCAAAGUCUCGGAACAGACGCAGUCGGAUGAACUGGCCAGAAAGCUGAGACACAGUGGGCGAGCUGCAUCCUCCACUUCCCCACUGGUGUCUCCUCACCAUCAGGAGAUGGAGACUGACUCAUCAGGAGCCCCCUUGCUGCGCUUACACCGGACGUGAGGCUGCCCCCCCCCCCCCCCCCCCCGCGUUGAGGCCUCUUCUGGGGUCCCUGGUUGUCCCUUAUGACUCUGACUUUCGCGGCCCGCCGCGUGGUGCUGCCCGCUUUCAAGAAAGGACCCGCCCACCCUUGUCUUCUCCCCCGCCUUCUCUCAUUGAACCUAACAAAACAGACUCCGCAGGACAAAUCCCUACCCCUCCCCCCCACCCCCACCCCCCCCGCAUUAGAUGAUUGCAUCUUCCUGGGAGUGCAUCGGCACGGCAGACUGCGCAAAGCAUGAUGGGAAGCCAAGGGUUUUUAAUGAGGACGGUGGAGCAGUCUGUCGUGGGCAGGUGGCACCUGUUCUGUUAGAUGUUUCCAGGAGAGUCCAUAUGUGCUGACUGGGCCAUGUCACUGCAGACUGUGAUGCCUGCUAUCCUGCCAUAAUGAACAGGCAUGUAGACUGUGUGUGUGUGUGUGUGUGUGUGUGUGUGUGUGUGUGUGUGUGUGUGUGUGUAUGUGUGUGCGUGCGUGUGUACAUACAUACUACCUAGUUUUUUUUAUCCUUACAUGGCUGCUUUGGUAUUUCUGUGGAAGAAGGAAGAUGAAAAGUUCUUUCUCUGGGAAUAUUGGUUGCUUUUUAAAGUAACAUUUUUAUUUUUCUUAUUUUUUUUUUCUUUAAAAUAAACCGACUAAUUUGACCCUCGUGUUGUCUUGUCAUCUGGCCGCGUCUCUCUGGAUCACUCUCUCACCUCCGAUUGUUGAUGUUAAGUCACCCUUCGUGUGUUUCUGGGUGGCCUGAAUGAGAAGUAGAAAUGGGGGGGGGGGUCACUGCCUGGCUUAACCCCAUGACAAGCCAGUGGGCGAGACGAUAAGAUAGGUGACUAACAUGCAAGAUGAACCCCCCCCCCCCCCGUGCCCUAAUUUUAUUGUGGCUGGUUUCCCAAGAACUGCUGUGGACUGUAGUUCUCUGUCCUGACAUGCAUGUAGACACACACACUCGCACACACACUCACACGCAGAGAAUGUAACGCAUUCUCGCAUUCAGCUCCUUGCUCACAAACCUUCACUCUUAAGCGUUCUCCUCCCUGCACGCACAGCACACACUUUAUCAAGCCCUUUAGAUGGUUGAAAUCUACUGAAAACAAACACACCCCAAUUAAGUGAACGAGGGGAUUCUGCUGGCAAAUUUGCUGGCCUACAGGUGACCUUUGUGAGGUAAGCCAGUGUGUGUGCUUAGCUGAAUGUGACCCCCUUCAUAAUUAAAUGUUUGUUCAGGUGGGCUGAGAUUCACUGGAGGGAAACUGGUUUUCAGCUAAAUAACCUCCAACUCACCUCCCAUCUCUCCCAAAUAAAUAAUUAAAAUGUUACAAGUUCCAAUUUACUGAUCCAAGGUCCAGUGGUUAUGUUUGAUCUUAAGCCUUGUAAUGGCGAUGUGGCACUUGACUCUACCGCCAAACGGUCUGUGUCUCCUGCUCUCCAGCGUUCCGAUCCACGCCCCCAGGCUGCGCGAUCAAGACCUCGAUCUCUCACACUUGGUCUGCCUCUCCACAUUCAACCCCCCCCCCCUUUUUUUGCCAGGGGGCUGCAAAACCCGCUCGGCUGCUUUCCUGCAAUGUGAUACGGGAUGAGACGCCUGUUCUUUUGUUACGCUGGUGCCCGUCGUGGAGAGAUGGUAGGCCCGCUAACGGCAGAUCUCGACACCACCACGUACUGUGUGACUGCCGCUGGGGCACGGGGUCUCCUGGGCAGUGCAGCCGGGGAUUCUGGGAUAUGGCUGUCGCCGGAAGGUUCUGAGUGAGCCGCUGAUGAUCGGUGAAGUACAACAAUCACGUACGGGGACGGGCACUGUAGUGAGACAAAAGGAUUCCACAUUGUCUCCUUCGCCGAUGGCGCCGUCGUCUUUCGGCUUUCUGAUGUCCGGUAAUCCCCGCGUGUGUGUGAACGGCGCUAAAGACGGAGGCGGCUGGGCUGGUGCCAGAUGGAGCUGUGGCGAGUUUCAGUGCGGUUCAUUGUCCGGGCAUGUCUGUGUCAUGCAUGAGUUACCUGGGACCAUUGCAGAUCUGGCAUCGUUUUAUCACAUUUAGCUUUCCGUAAAAGAGUUUUUAGCAGUUUUUUUCUCGAAAAAAAGAAAUCCAAGUUUUACUGAGUUAUAUAUAUAUAGUCACAUAUGUUAUUAUUAUUAUGAUAUUGACGAUGGUGUGUAGGAUAGGUGGUGCAGUGGUGCUGCUACCUCCCAGUGAGAAGGUCCUGGGUUCGAUUCCUGGGGACUUUUCCGUGUAUCGUUUGCAUCUUCUCAUUUAAUGCGUGGGUUUCUGCUGGCGGCUCUGGUUUCCUCCCACAGUCCAAAAACUACACGGUAGGUUAAUCGGUGACUCUAAGUUGGCCACGUAUUUUUGUGCGUGUGCCCUGCGGUGUGCUGGUGCCCACCCAGGGUUGGUUCCCGCCUGCGCCCGUUGUUCCCGGGAUAGGCUCCUGUCCCCGUGACCCUGGUCGGGAUUUAGCAGUUACAGUGAUGGAUGGAUAAUUGAAAUAGUGCUUUUGUUAUGGGGCAUUUCGCUUUAAUUUUGAAAAUGCCUGUUGAGCAGUUGAAUAAUGGGGGGAGUGGUUUGCAUUUCUACCUGUGAGUGCGGGUGUUGUUGAGUUCAGACUGCGUAUAAUUAGCCAUGUGACUGACUGACAGCGCUUGUUAGGACAUCUUGUCUUAUUAGGUCUGAAUGACUGAAUAAUACCAGGUGUGGUGGUUUGACAGCCAUCAGACUUCACAGGCGAUCUGCAGCAGCAGAUCCUUGGCGAAAAUAUGCAGCUCUACCUGUCCUGAGAUCUGCAUUAAGUCAAGCCCUCAGAAAGGGCAUUCCAGAGUCACAGUGAAGACCUCAGCAAGGCGAGCUCAGAGGCAAAGUUAAAUCAUCUGUACAAAGAACACAGAGGCGAAGAGACACAGGCAGCACAAUGCUGGAUCUCUUGGGGAUCGUCAUCGGCCUCAUGUUUGUCAUUGUGUUCAUUUCCAAGGAUAUAAAGGAGGGCUGGAAGGGGCCAGCACAGAGAGGCCGGGAGCACCAGCAACACCAGCAGCACCAGCAGCCCCGAAGCAAGGUGGCCCAGAUCCUCAAGUGGAAAAAGCCACGCAUAUUUAACAAGGACGUCACUGACAAUGACCUCAAGGUGAUGGCCACUAUCCUCUCCGCCGGCCUGGUGGAUGUGGACCCCUCAUCCGUGCAGCAGCUCAAAGAGUUCCGUGACCUGCGGGGGGCUUCGACCUGAGCGACUUGCGGCCCUCUGACAUCGGCGGCCCUCUGACAUCGGCGGCCGGUUAGCGCUGAAGGGACAUGGCAGCUGUGUGCUUGGUACACAGCGCCCCCCCCCAUUCACUCUAAUGCCCACUAACGCUAACCGCCCAUCCAUCAGCUGCUGACUCUUUGAUCCAGGUGUGGAAUUCCUCGCUUCAGGAUGGAUCUUCCUUUGAGACCAGGUUCUUCCCGCUUUAAAGACAAUUGUCCUCUUUUCAGAAGACAGCAAAGCAGAUUCAGAAACUGGCCAAACUGCUACUGCUGGGAAGUUUUCCAUCCUAUUUCACACCACUCUGAAUUCAGGGACUUACCACAACAGAUCAGCUGAUCCUCUCAUAGACAAACAAGGAAAGAAUGAAUGAAUGAAUGAAUGCGUUCAAUGUAAAAACAUUUAUCAAAAUCGCAAUUAAAUAGUGUUUAAAAUGGUAUUUAACAGUUUAAAGGUUUUUACAUCAGUUUAUUUAGACUGGAUAAUGCUUCACAUCAUAUAGUGAUUAGCUACUCCUUUGUAGAAUGGGAGCGACCUCUUGUCUGCUAACUCCACCUUAAUGUGACCCAUCCCAUGCGAGUCCUGACUCUGCUACAGUGCGUGUUUCAUUUGUUGUCUGUUAGGUCGGUAUUAUUCAGUAUCUUUUGUCUUGCCUGCCUGCCUGCCUUCUUACCAAAAGUGUAUGAAGUGCAAACGCAUAUAGACGUCUGUUCCGCGUCAGUGUGUAAAGGGUGACUGGAAACGAUCUAUUAAAAACCAGAUGUACUGGUUGGACUAGGUUAACACUCAUGACCAGAUCACCUGAUGGAAGCCGCCUGACGUUUCACAUUACAGUCAGAGUAUAUCUCUAAAUCUACACAUAUUUCUAAUGACUAAAGGGAGUUUCUGGGACGUGCCCAGCGUUAAAGCAUCUCAGAAUAGAGAGUUGGUUUACAUAAUUGCAUAAUUGACCCACAACCUUUGCAGUGUUUUUUCCCUGGCUUCUGUCAUGCGUAUCCCAUCAUGCAACAGGCCCAAGAACCAGAGUAUAACAAGGGUCUCGGGGUAAAUAUUUAUCACCUGUCCAAAAAAAAAUCUCACCGCUACAACUUCCAUAGGUAUAACCUUGUUACCAACGAUCAGAUUAACAAUAAGAAUACUUUAACUCUGUUACGUGAAUGAGUUCCUGGCCAGUUUACUGGUUUGCACGGUUUGCCUUCUGGUGUAAUUUGACACUAUUUGUCACAUCUGCAUAAAUAGUUAACAAACCGAAUAAACAGUGAUUUGAAACUGCAUUACGUGGAUGUAGCUGUCAGACAGAUUCUUGGAUGGUACAGCAGUUUCUUGCAUUUUUUAUGUGCCAGAAAUAGGUGUCACAAAAAAAAUCCCAAAUAAAUUGUUUAUUUUGUGGAAAAUGUGACAUUUUAAAAAUCUGAAUAAAUCCUCUCUCGGCGCAUUAGUAUGCGUACAAUCUGGGAAAAUGUCACUCAUCGAAUCCAAAUAAACUGAUACAAAUCAUCCAAAACAGACA